AACCAAAAUAAGACCAAUCGAGCUUCAACAAGAGGCGGGGUUGUCCACACCUCAGGCCGCAAGGCUCAUAUUGAUGUUGCGAUUGAGCUCAGCAAUAACCUUCAAAGAGAUUUACUUCCAGAUGAGUUAUUUUUGACAACCCACAAGAGAAAAAAUGGCGCUUGGGUUGAUAGUCGCGCAUAAUCUACCUAUGGAACAUUUAAAAAAAAAUUGGAGGAAGUACAAACACAAAUUGGCGAAACAAGUGAAGAAAGUGGUAAAGAGGUAGAUGGAGGGACAAUACUUAAGUUAUGGACUGAAUCUGCAGGGGGUCGCACUCGUGGUCGAGUUUAUGGUACAAGAGA
Non-coding RNA from Cicer arietinum (chickpea), 344 nucleotides. The record is from RefSeq and is a predicted model, not a curated record. NCBI's taxonomy places the organism in Eukaryota, Viridiplantae, Streptophyta, Magnoliopsida, Fabales, Fabaceae.